AGUGGCGAACGGGUGAGUAACACGUAGAUGAUCUACCUUUUAGUUGGGGAUAGCCCAUGGAAACAUGGAGUAAUACCGAAUAAUCUCUUAUUCUUUUAGGAAUUAGAGGAAAGAAGCGUUUGCUUCGCUGAAAGAUGAGUCUGCGCACUAUUAGCUAGUUGGUGGGGUAAGAGCCUACCAAGGCGACGAUAGUUAGCCGACCUGAGAGGGUGAUCGGCCACAUUGGGACUGAGACACGGCCCAGACUCC
This 249-nucleotide ribosomal RNA is filed under the name uncultured bacterium. RNAcentral's name for it is "partial 16S ribosomal RNA". It matches the Rfam family "Bacterial small subunit ribosomal RNA", at positions 94 to 339 of the family's 1533-position model. The record is from RNAcentral.